CGCGUGGAGGAAGAAGGUCUUCGGAUUGUAAACUCCUGUUGUUGAGGAAGAUAAUGACGGUACUCAACAAGGAAGUGACGGCUAACUACGUGCCAGCAGCCGCGGUAAAACGUAGGUCACAAGCGUUGUCCGGAAUUACUGGGUGUAAAGGGAGCGCAGGCGGGAAGACAAGUUGGAAGUGAAAUCCAUGGGCUCAACCCAUGAACUGCUUUCAAAGCUGUUUUUCUUGAGUAGUGCAGAGGUAGGCGGAAUUCCCGGUGUAGCGGUGGAAUGCGUAGAUAUCGGGAGGAACACCAGUGGCGAAGGCGGCCUACUGGGCACCAACUGACGCUGAGGCUCGAAAGUGUG
This 348-nucleotide ribosomal RNA is filed under the name uncultured bacterium. RNAcentral describes it as "bacterial SSU rRNA". It matches the Rfam family "Bacterial small subunit ribosomal RNA", at positions 398 to 763 of the family's 1533-position model. The record is from RNAcentral.